CCGUCUCUAAGGGGGUGCCCCAAUAUCACGGGCUGAGAUCAUACCCUUAGAACCUGAUCCGGGUAAUGCCGGCGAAGGGAUAUAUAUUAAUCACUUUU
RNAcentral lists this non-coding RNA (98 nucleotides) under Bacteroides sp. RNAcentral's name for it is "TPP sequence". It matches the Rfam family "TPP riboswitch aptamer (THI element)". Rfam says of the family: Vitamin B(1) in its active form thiamin pyrophosphate (TPP) is an essential coenzyme that is synthesised by coupling of pyrimidine and thiazole moieties in bacteria. The previously detected thiamin-regulatory element, thi box was extended, resulting in a new, highly conserved RNA secondary structure, the THI element, which is widely distributed in eubacteria and also occurs in some archaea. Analysis of operon structures identified a large number of new candidate thiamin-regulated genes, mostly transporters, in various prokaryotic organisms. Lineage: Bacteria; Pseudomonadati; Bacteroidota; Bacteroidia; Bacteroidales; Bacteroidaceae. The record is from RNAcentral.